CGUAAGGACGCGUAGGCGGGAUGCCAAGUCUGAUGUGAAAUCUAGGUAGCCAUAGAACUGCAUUGGAAACUGGUAACCUAGAGUAUGGGAGGGGGAGAUGGAAUUAGUGGUGUAGGGGUAAAAUCCGUAGAUAUCACUAGGAAUACCGAAAGCGAAGGCGAUCUCCUGGAACAAUACUGACGCUAAGGCGUGAAAGCGUGGGGAGCAAACGGGAUUAGAUACCCCGGUAGUCCACGCCCUAAACGAUGAACACUAGUCGUCGGAAUGCUAGUCAUUUCGGUGAUGCACUUAACAGAUUAAGUGUUCCGCCUGGGGAGUACGGUCGCAAGAUUAAAACUCAAAGGAAUAGACGGGGACCCGCACAAGUGGUGGAGCAUGUGGUUUAAUUCGAAGAUAUGCGAAGAACCUUACCUAGCCUUGACAUUGAUUGAAUACCCUAGAGAUAGAGUAGUGCCCUUCGGGGAACAUGAAAACAGGUGCUGCACGGCUGUCGUCAGCUCGUGUCGUGAGAUGUUGGGUUAAGUCCCGCAACGAGCGCAACCCUCGUCCUUAGUUGCCAGCAGGUUAAGCUGGGCACUCUAAGGAGACUGCCUUCGCAAGGAGGAGGAAGGUGAGGACGACGUCAAGUCAUCAUGGCCCUUAUGGCUAGGGCUACACACGUGCUACAAUGGGGCGUACAGAGUGUUGCGAUACCGCGAGGUGGAGCUAAUCACUUAAAGCGUCUCUCAGUUCGGAUAGGAGUCUGCAACUCGACUCCUUGAAGCUGGAAUCACUAGUAAUCGUAGAUCAGCAAUGCUACGGUGAAUACGUU
Molecule: ribosomal RNA, 811 nt
Filed under: uncultured bacterium
Lineage: Bacteria
Description: bacterial SSU rRNA
Rfam family: Bacterial small subunit ribosomal RNA
Source: RNAcentral